AACGCGAAGAACCUUACCUGGGCUCGAAAUGUUGUGGACCGGGGUAGAAAUAUCCCUUCCCCGCAAGGGGCCGCAAUAUAGGUGCUGCAUGGCUGUCGUCAGCUCGUGUCGUGAGAUGUUGGGUUAAGUCCCGCAACGAGCGCAACCCUUGUCCUAUGUUGCCAGCGGGUAAUGCCGGGGACUCGUAGGAGACUGCCGGGGUCAACUCGGAGGAAGGUGGGGACGACGUCAAGUCAUCAUGCCCCUUACGUCCAGGGCUGCACACAUGCUACAAUGGCCAGUACAGAGGGCUGCUAUCCCGCGAGGGUGAGCUAAUCCCAAAAAGCUGGUCUCAGUUCGGAUUGCAGUCUGCAACUCGACUGCAUGAAGUCGGAGUCGCUAGUAAUCCCGAAUCAGCAACGUCGGGGUGAAUACGUUCCCGGGCCUUGUACACACCGACUGUAC
This 444-nucleotide ribosomal RNA is filed under the name uncultured bacterium. Its description in RNAcentral is "bacterial SSU rRNA". It matches the Rfam family "Bacterial small subunit ribosomal RNA", at positions 958 to 1399 of the family's 1533-position model. The record is from RNAcentral.